UAGUCCCCUUCAGUUGAGAGAUCCCUCAAAUAGUAUUAUUUGAGGGAUGGGGCGCUCAGCCAUUGGAUGCCUUUUAAUGAGAUUGUGCGGCUGUGAUUGUUUUAAAAGUUGUAACCCGUUUUCACUCAAAUGACCCGCAAAAGACCGAAGUCAAGCACACACGCAGAAGGGGAAACGAAGGAAGAGGAAGAGCCAGCCUUGCAAGUUGAAGGGCAGAUCCACCAUCGCCAGCUGAAGAGUGGACCCGACAAUCAGGCUAUAUGGCUAAACCGAACGAGACGAUCAUUUUUGCCCGCAAAUGUUAAGCUUGGCUUUAGUAGACGGAGGCCGUGGCUCAGAGUUUCUAUGAAAUCAUGAUCUCAUUUAUGUUUUAGUGAUACUUCUUUUGUUAAGCGUGUAAAUUGUAUCUCAAUGCCUUAGAUUAGGUGAUGUAAAUCUAAAGUUUGUUUUAUCACACUUGGGACCUGUAAUUAUCAACGUUUGAUGGUUGAAAGAGCUUCAUGGCAGUUUAGAGCUAUUCAAA
Molecule: non-coding RNA, 523 nt
Organism: Prunus mume (Japanese apricot)
Lineage: Eukaryota; Viridiplantae; Streptophyta; Magnoliopsida; Rosales; Rosaceae
Source: RefSeq, a predicted model, not a curated record